This 74-nucleotide transfer RNA is filed under the name Myoviridae sp. ctCo31. RNAcentral's name for it is "tRNA-Met". It matches the Rfam family "tRNA". Rfam says of the family: Transfer RNA (tRNA) molecules are approximately 80 nucleotides in length. Their secondary structure includes four short double-helical elements and three loops (D, anti-codon, and T loops). The record is from RNAcentral. Lineage: Duplodnaviria; Heunggongvirae; Uroviricota; Caudoviricetes.
CUCCAGGUAGCUUAAUUGGUUAGAGCAAUCGACUCAUAAUCGAGAGGUUGUGAGUUCAAGUCUCACCCCGGGGA